Molecule: ribosomal RNA, 340 nt
Filed under: Stictocephala sp.
Lineage: Eukaryota; Metazoa; Arthropoda; Insecta; Hemiptera; Membracidae
Description: partial 12S small subunit ribosomal RNA
Source: RNAcentral
UUAUGAUUUAAAUUUUAACUAGAAUAAAAGUAGUUAUUUUCUUCAUAACUCAAAGAAUUUGGCGGUUAAUUUAAUUUUUCAGAGGAACCUGCCCCAUUAUUGAUAAACCACGAUAAUUUAUACUUAUAGUUUAUUUGUAUAUCUCUAUGGUAUAAGAGUGUUUUUUUAGAUUAUUCUCUUUUUGGUUAUAUUCUUUAAUUUUAGGUCAAGGUGCAGUUUUUUAUAAGAAGGUGUGGGUUACUUAAAUUAUAAAUGUUUAUUUUUUUUGUUUUAUCAAUUAUUUUAGGAUUUGAAAGUAAUUUGAUUGAAUUUUUUCUUUUGAAUAUAUUUUAGUUAAUGU